CUUCAGAGCCACCAUGUCGAUGUUCUCAUCGGUCCAGCGCCGCUCCUCGUCCUCCACAAGCCUGUCGGGAGAGCAGCGUGAUACCUGACACAAGUGGCCAACAGGGAAAGAGAAAACCAAUGCCUCAGACACAGCUGCAACCCCUUGAGGAGAAUCAAGACUGGGGACAAGGAAGGGGUGGUGGCUGUGGAGGCCACACGCCACAUCGUGUUAGAAGGCACUUGAACUCACCAGUGAACUCGGCGCUUGGACAGGUUAUCACAGGUUUGUGACUAACUUGUGGCGCGUCUGUGUCCAUGUCGACUUCCGACUUAUCUUCAGCUUGUCCAAGAAGCACCUGGGUCCAAG
Long non-coding RNA from Eptesicus fuscus (big brown bat), 348 nucleotides. RefSeq lists it as uncharacterized. The record is from RefSeq and is a predicted model, not a curated record. The transcript is spliced from 3 exons. NCBI's taxonomy places the organism in Eukaryota, Metazoa, Chordata, Mammalia, Chiroptera, Vespertilionidae.